AAAUAGGAUUUUUUAAAAUCCUCAACUUACAAAAAUAACAUGUAUU
Pan troglodytes (chimpanzee) is the source of this 46-nucleotide non-coding RNA. Lineage: Eukaryota; Metazoa; Chordata; Mammalia; Primates; Hominidae. The record is from Rfam.